GGAUUAUGGCUCAGUGGUAGAGAGCGUGUCUAGCGUGCAUGAGGCACUGGGUUCAAUCUUCAGCGCCA
This 68-nucleotide transfer RNA is filed under the name Marmota monax (woodchuck). RNAcentral's name for it is "tRNA.Ala". The record is from RNAcentral. Lineage: Eukaryota; Metazoa; Chordata; Mammalia; Rodentia; Sciuridae.